This 497-nucleotide ribosomal RNA is filed under the name uncultured bacterium. RNAcentral's name for it is "partial 16S ribosomal RNA". It matches the Rfam family "Bacterial small subunit ribosomal RNA", at positions 28 to 507 of the family's 1533-position model. The record is from RNAcentral.
GAUGAACGCUGGCGGCGUGCCUAAUACAUGCAAGUCGAGCGAACAGACGAGGAGCUUGCUCCUUUGACGUUAGCGGCGGACGGGUGAGUAACACGUGGAUAACCUACCUAUAAGACUGGGAUAACUUCGGGAAACCGGAGCUAAUACCGGAUAACAUGUUGAACCGCAUGGUUCAACAGUGAAAGACGGUCUUGCUGUCACUUAUAGAUGGAUCCGCGCCGCAUUAGCUAGUUGGUAAGGUAACGGCUUACCAAGGCAACGAUGCGUAGCCGACCUGAGAGGGUGAUCGGCCACACUGGAACUGAGACACGGUCCAGACUCCUACGGGAGGCAGCAGUAGGGAAUCUUCCGCAAUGGGCGAAAGCCUGACGGAGCAACGCCGCGUGAGUGAAGAAGGUCUUCGGAUCGUAAAACUCUGUUAUUAGGGAAGAACAAAUGUGUAAGUAACUAUGCACGUCUUGACGGUACCUAAUCAGAAAGCAACGGCUAACUACGUG